Molecule: ribosomal RNA, 402 nt
Filed under: uncultured bacterium
Lineage: Bacteria
Description: bacterial SSU rRNA
Rfam family: Bacterial small subunit ribosomal RNA
Source: RNAcentral
UGGGGAAUAUUGGACAAUGGGCGCAAGCCUGAUCCAGCCAUGCCGCGUGAGUGAUGAAGGCCUUAGGGUUGUAAAGCUCUUUUAGCGGGGAAGAUAAUGACGGUACCCGCAGAAAAAGCCCCGGCUAACUUCGUGCCAGCAGCCGCGGUAAUACGAAGGGGGCUAGCGUUGCUCGGAAUUACUGGGCGUAAAGCGCACGUAGGCGGACUCUUAAGUCGGUGGUGAAAUCCUGGAGCUCAACUCCAGAACUGCCUUCGAUACUGGGAGUCUUGAGUUCGGGAGAGGAGAGUGGAAUUCCUAGUGUAGGAGUGAAAUCCGUAGAUAUUAGGAGGAACACCGGUGGCGAAGGCGGCUCUCUGGACCGAUACUGACGCUGAGACGCGAAAGCGUGGGUAGCAAACA